This 253-nucleotide ribosomal RNA is filed under the name uncultured bacterium. RNAcentral's name for it is "partial 16S ribosomal RNA". It matches the Rfam family "Bacterial small subunit ribosomal RNA", at positions 524 to 776 of the family's 1533-position model. The record is from RNAcentral.
GACGAACCGUGCGAACGUUGUUCGGAAUCACUGGGCUUAAAGGGCGCGUAGGCGGGCUCACAAGUCAGGGGUGAAAUCCCACGGCUCAACCGUGGAAGUGCCUUUGAUACUGUGGGUCUUGAGGGAGGUAGGGGCGUGCGGAACUUCCGGUGGAGCGGUGAAAUGCGUAGAUAUCGGAAGGAACACCGGUGGCGAAGGCGGUCUUCUGGACGGUGACUGACGCUGAGGCGCGAAAGCGUGGGGAGCAAACGGG